Molecule: ribosomal RNA, 404 nt
Filed under: Priestia megaterium
Lineage: Bacteria; Bacillati; Bacillota; Bacilli; Caryophanales; Bacillaceae
Description: bacterial SSU rRNA
Rfam family: Bacterial small subunit ribosomal RNA
Source: RNAcentral
ACUCUAAGGUGACUGCCGGUGACAAACCGGAGGAAGGUGGGGAUGACGUCAAAUCAUCAUGCCCCUUAUGACCUGGGCUACACACGUGCUACAAUGGAUGGUACAAAGGGCUGCAAGACCGCGAGGUCAAGCCAAUCCCAUAAAACCAUUCUCAGUUCGGAUUGUAGGCUGCAACUCGCCUACAUGAAGCUGGAAUCGCUAGUAAUCGCGGAUCAGCAUGCCGCGGUGAAUACGUUCCCGGGCCUUGUACACACCGCCCGUCACACCACGAGAGUUUGUAACACCCGAAGUCGGUGGAGUAACCGUAAGGAGCUAGCCGCCUAAGGUGGGACAGAUGAUUGGGGUGAAGUCGUAACAAGGUAGCCGUAUCGGAAGGUGCGGCUGGAUCACCUCCUUUCUAAGGA